GCUCAGGACGAACGCUGGCGGCGUGCCUAAUACAUGCAAGUAGAACGCUGAGGACUGGUGCUUGCACUGGUCUAAGGAGUUGCGAACGGGUGAGUAACGCGUAGGUAACCUACCUCAUAGCGGGGGAUAACUAUUGGAAACGAUAGCUAAUACCGCAUGACAAUAGGGUACACAUGUACCCUAUUUAAAAGGGGCAAAUGCUUCACUAUGAGAUGGACCUGCGUUGUAUUAGCUAGUUGGUAAGGUAACGGCUUACCAAGGCGACGAUACAUAGCCGACCUGAGAGGGUGAUCGGCCACACUGGGACUGAGACACGGCCCAGACUCCUACGGGAGGCAGCAGUAGGGAAUCUUCGGCAAUGGGGGGAACCCUGACCGAGCAACGCCGCGUGAGUGAAGAAGGUUUUCGGAUCGUAAAGCUCUGUUGUUAGAGAAGAACGGUAAUGGGAGUGGAAAAUCCAUUACGUGACGGUAACUAA
Molecule: ribosomal RNA, 478 nt
Filed under: Streptococcus uberis
Lineage: Bacteria; Bacillati; Bacillota; Bacilli; Lactobacillales; Streptococcaceae
Description: bacterial SSU rRNA
Rfam family: Bacterial small subunit ribosomal RNA
Source: RNAcentral